UACGGGGGGAGCAAGCGUUGUUCGGAUUUACUGGGCGUAAAGGGCGCGUAGGCGGCGUGGUAAGUCACUUGUGAAAUCUCCGGGCUUAACUCGGAACGGUCAAGUGAUACUGCUGCGCUAGAGUGCGGAAGGGGCAACUGGAAUUCUCGGUGUAGCGGUGAAAUGCGUAGAUAUCGAGAGGAACACCGGUGGCGAAGGCGGCAUUCUGGACCAUAACUGACACUGAGAGACGAAAGCCAGGGGAGCAAACGGG
RNAcentral lists this ribosomal RNA (253 nucleotides) under uncultured bacterium. RNAcentral's name for it is "partial 16S ribosomal RNA". It matches the Rfam family "Bacterial small subunit ribosomal RNA", at positions 524 to 776 of the family's 1533-position model. The record is from RNAcentral.